GCGUGGUGCUACGUCAAGACCAGCACAGUUGCUAUAAAGUGAAAUGAUCAUCAACAGACUGUUGAAGUCUUCGAUGGUCUGGGACUGAUUAGUCAGAUAUAGAUACUCAACAAGAAUAGAGAGAAAUUGUAGGUCGAGACACUGACUUGUCUUCACAUAAAUUCGACUUUAAAAUGUUUUAUUCAAAUUCAUGGACCAAGUGCUUGAUAUACCUUAUCUUUAUAACAAGUGGAAAUUCUGAAUGUCCCAAACCACAAGUGGAGAGAAAUGAACAUGUCGUUCUAACGAAUGAUGCACUCCUAAAGAACGAUUUUCCGGAGGGCUCGGAAGUAUUGUUUCAAUGUACCAACGGCUACAUGAAAGCGCAAGGAUCUGAAAGCAUCACCUGCACGAGUGGAGAGUGGAGCACCCUGGAAUUAAUCUGCAAAAAGAAGGACUGCGGUGCACCUAAGGAGAUGCCACAUUUGACAUAUGAGUUUGAUAAGGAAGGGACGCUUUUUGGUGCAUCAGCAAGAGCAAUUUGUGAUAAAGGCUAUCAAAUUCAGGGAUCAAGUUACAGACAGUGUUAUGCCACCGGUUGGAGUGGAAGAUCAAGAUGUGAAGGUAAAUCUUACAUAUUUCCCAUUGACACACCUUGGACAUCUUAGGCAUUGAACUUGUUUGAAUGAAGAACACCAAUUACUGCUGAACGAUUAGUGCUUUUUAGAGUCUGGUUUGCGUUCUAUUAUUAUUUUAGAGACAUGGUGAACGUUCAAUUACCAAAACAUUGACUGUAACUACCUAUUGGGUAACAAGUACAAUUUACAAUUUAAUAAUAAUAAUAAUAAUAAUCCCAGACCUCAAAAGUGGUCUCCUGUAUUGUUUGAAGCACUGUUUGCGGAUUUAGAAAAUCCAAAUUACACUACAAAAAUAUAAACGCAACAUAAACGCAUGUCUCACGUUUCAUGAGCUGAACUAAAAGAUCUCAGAAAUGUUACAUACAAGUGUAUUUCUCUUAAAUUUUGCCACAAAUUGGUUUACAUCCCUGUUAGUGAGCAUUUCUCCUUUGCAAAGAUCAUCCACCAGACAGAUAUGUCAUAUCAAGAAGCUGAUUAAACCGCAUGAUCAUUACACAGGUGCACCUUCUGACAAUAAAAUGCCACUCUAGAAUGUCCAGUGUUGUCACAACACAAUGCCACAGAAGUUUUGAGUGAGCGUGCAAUUGGAAUUUUUAAAUUUAAAUGUGAAAUGUAAAAUCUGGUAUGGUCAGCCAUAAGCUACGGACAACGAACACAAUUGCAUUUAUUGAUUAGCAAUUGGAUGCACAAAAAUACCGUGAUGAGAUCCUGAGCCCCAUUGAGGCUUUUUUUUUCCUGUGACCAACAGAUGCAUUUCUGUAUUCCCAUUCAUGUGAAAUCCAUUGAUUAGGGCCUAAAGAAUUUAUUUCAAUUGCCUGAUUUCCUCAUAUGAACUAUAACUCAGUUAAAUCUUAAAUUGUUGCAUUUUGUUCAGAAUAUAUAUUUUUUCUAUUAAAGUGUGAUUUCAUUUGUGUUUUUUUGUGGAAAACCUGAAGAAAUGGGAAAACAAACCUGGAAAAACAGAAUAGCAUUUUGGGGAAAAUUCAAUGGAAUCAGGCAGAAAAUUAGGGCCCUGCAAUUCACAUGAAUGUAGUGUUAAUAAACUACUUCCUUUAGCCCAGCAGUUCUUGGGAGAAUCUCAAUUGCAUAGUCCUCGCGUCCUUUCCUUCUCAAAAAUAUUGGAUGAAAAAAAAGGGGGGUUUUGAGGAGAUGGGACGCAAGGAGUAUGCAUGCAAUUGCGAUUUGCCCCUCGACUUGAUUUCUAUUGUAAAUUAUUUGGUUUCGGUCUAGAGAAACAGCGAAUCUGGCUCACAAAAAAGACUUCGGUCAAUUAGUAGUUUAAUAGCCCAAAAAUUAUAAUUUGGUUGGUCGCUCAGCACUAACAAAUAUAAUGCACCCAUGUAUGUCUCCCUCAGUGGUAACUUGUGAAGAACCUAUUGAUAUAAUGAAUGGCAUGAUCUCAGAGAAGCCUGACAAACAGUUUCCAGAGUAUGGGGAUGUCAUACAGUAUUCCUGUGAUGAAGGUUACACCCUCAUUGGAAACAUAUCCAUUGAGUGUGAUGAAGAUGGUGAAUACUCAUUUCUUCCUGAAUGCAAAGAUGUCAAUGACAUUCCUUUGAAACCAACAACUAUAUCAGCAUCAAUAACAACAUUGACUGUUCCACCCACAAUACAAGGGACGCAUCAUAGCAUUGGUGAACAUGACACCAACACCUCUACAAAUGUCAAUGACAUUCCUUUGAAAUCAGCAUCAAUAACAACAUCGACUGUUCCACCCACAAUACAAGUUUCAGGGAGGCAUCAUGAAAUUGGUGAACAUGACAUCAACGCAGCUACAAGGAAUGCAGCAGCCAAGGGAAGUGUGAUCGGCAUCUGCAUAGUCAUAGUUAUACUUAUUGUGCUGUUCGUAUUAUAUUGUUUUCAGAAGAGGAAAGGCUCCUACCAGACAGGAGAAGACUCUAGAAGAAAAGAGGAGUUAUUACAAUUUCAAAAUGACUAAGUUGAAUGCCUACCCAAGGGCUAGGACUGCUCCUAUCUGCUAGUCUGCAUCUGUCCUUGAAAAGAAGUGCCCAGUAAUUGUCUCAGACCAUUCCCUGGUUGAACAAAGCCACUUAAUUUACAGUGCCCUUUACGUAUGUGACAUUACUGAAUGGAAGUUAUAAUUGUACUUUUUUUAUGAUGUAAUUAUUUUUUGAAAGUCAAUGUAAAUGUUUUAACCCUAUGUUUUUUAAUGUAUUUAUAUUGAAAACUGGAACAUGUGUAAUAAAGCUUUUUGCCUACAAAUUGCUAGUCAGCUGUGUUGAGUGGGCAGAAGGCCCUGUAAUAAGAUUAAUGCACUAAACAAAAUGUAUGAUUGAGGCUCAAAGGCUAAUCAUCUCUGACCAUUCCAAAAUGUGUGCGGAAUGAUUGCGGCUCAAAGGAAAAUAAUCUGGGUCUGGUAACGCGGACAUUCCUGUUAAAUCUAACGUUACUUUGUAUUUAUUUUCAAGUAGGCUCAAUGUGGGUCUGGGAAACCAGCUCAUGUUCAUUUCCUGGCCCCAAAUGUGUGAUUUAAAGGAAAGGUUCGCCCAUUUUGAAUGUUAUAUAUUUUUUUGUGCAUCUGAGUGACGUUCUAUCGAUUCCCUGGGUCUUUUCAUGUGUAUCCGAGUUAUUGGCGUUCAAGCAGGCAGACAUGUGGCCGGUAUUACGUAGCACUGUGAUAAAGUCCCUCUCACUACACUGGAAAUUAAUAGGAAUCCAACUUUUAGAUCGCGAAAAUGUCUAUCAUUCAUGUCAGACUGUAAUACUUGCCGACGUCAUAACUCGGGAGGAUGUCUUCUUUCGAAUGAGUGAUGGCUCAUAUUUUUAGCGAUAUUUCUACCUCGAGAAAUUUGUAAUUUAACGAAUGGUCUAGCAUAUUGUUCCUAUUUGCCUCUAGUCCAGGGUGCAUUGCAUGGUGCUGUUGCCAAAUAUCUUAUAGAAAUUCGUGCUAAUGUAUUUUUGUUUAGCUAGUGCCCAAUAGACUCCGAUUCACUCCUUCAAGGAGAGCGUGUCUUGUCAAAGAAUUGCCCAGAAUGCACCGCGCGGCCCCUUUGUGUAGCUUGGUCCGCGUUUCCCAUCUCAAAAGUAUAUCUGCCGUUGCGAAUGUUAUACUCCAUUCUGUGAGGCACAUCGAUCUGCAGGUUGAACAUGGUCCCAGCAUGAGGCUUCUGGUAUCUGAUGCAAUGGAGACAUUGAGGCAAAACGUCAAUAAGUAACACUUCACAACAGGGGACUGUACUUGGUGAAAAUUCCUAAAUGAUGCAAAUAUUUAUUUCUGUUCUGGUUACAUGUAUUUCAUGGAUCAUCAAAAUAAAUGUACACAUGUAGGCUACAGUAUGCUAAAAAUACCUCCAUACUGUACCUUCCCCCUCACCUGG
This is an RNA transcript of Oncorhynchus kisutch (coho salmon), 3955 nucleotides long. It is a transcript of the gene named complement decay-accelerating factor, with no coding region annotated. NCBI's taxonomy places the organism in Eukaryota, Metazoa, Chordata, Actinopteri, Salmoniformes, Salmonidae. The record is from RefSeq and is a predicted model, not a curated record. The transcript is spliced from 13 exons.